CGGAACGGGUGAGUAACGCGUGAGGAACCUGCCUCAAAGAGGGGGACAACAGUUGGAAACGACUGCUAAUACCGCAUAACGUAUCGGGAUGGCAUCUUUCUGAUACCAAAGAUUUUAUCGCUUAGAGAUGGGCUCGCGUCUGAUUAGAUAGUUGGCGGGGUAACGGCCCACCAAGUCGACGAUCAGUAGCCGGACUGAGUGGUUGAACGGCCACAUUGGGACUGAGACACGGCCCAG
Molecule: ribosomal RNA, 237 nt
Filed under: uncultured bacterium
Lineage: Bacteria
Description: partial 16S ribosomal RNA
Rfam family: Bacterial small subunit ribosomal RNA
Source: RNAcentral